CAGCAGCCGCGGUAAUACGUAGGUCCCGAGCGUUGUCCGGAUUCAUUGGGCGUAAAGCGAGCGCAGGCGGUUAGAUAAGUCUGAAGUUAAAGGCUGUGGCUUAACCAUAGUACGCUUUGGAAACCGUUUAACUUGAGUGCAAGAGGGGAGAGUGGAAUUCCAUGUGUAGCGGUGAAAUGCGUAGAUAUAUGGAGGAACACCGGUGGCGAAAGCGGCUCUCUGGCUUGUAACUGACGCUGAGGCUCGAAAGCGUGGGGAGCAAACAGGAUUAGAUACCCGCGUAGUCCCUGUCUCUUAUACA
Molecule: ribosomal RNA, 301 nt
Filed under: uncultured bacterium
Lineage: Bacteria
Description: partial 16S ribosomal RNA
Rfam family: Bacterial small subunit ribosomal RNA
Source: RNAcentral